GACGAACGCUGGCGGCGUGCUUAGCACAUGCAAGUCGUACGAUGAAGCUGGAGCUUGCUCCGGUGGAUUAGUGGCGAACGGGUGAGUAACACGUGAGCAAUCUGCCCUUGACUCUGGAAUAACUGCGGGAAACUGUAGCUAAUACCGGAUACUUUCACUGGAAGGCAUCUUCUGGUGAAGAAAGAAUUUCGGUCAAGGAUGAGCUCGCGGCCUAUCAGCUUGUUGGUGAGGUAACGGCUCACCAAGGCGACGACGGGUAGCCGGCCUGAGAGGGUGACCGGCCACACUGGGACUGAGACACGGCCCAGACUCCUACGGGAGGCAGCAGUGGGGAAUAUUGCACAAUGGGCGCAAGCCUGAUGCAGCAACGCCGCGUGAGGGAUGAAGGCCUUCGGGUUGUAAACCUCUUUUAGCAGGGAAGAAGCGAAAGUGACGGUACCUGCAGAAAAAGCACCGGCUAACUACGUGCCAGCAGCCGCCGUAA
This 484-nucleotide ribosomal RNA is filed under the name uncultured bacterium. RNAcentral's name for it is "partial 16S ribosomal RNA". It matches the Rfam family "Bacterial small subunit ribosomal RNA", at positions 28 to 523 of the family's 1533-position model. The record is from RNAcentral.